RNAcentral lists this ribosomal RNA (261 nucleotides) under uncultured archaeon. RNAcentral's name for it is "partial 16S ribosomal RNA". It matches the Rfam family "Archaeal small subunit ribosomal RNA", at positions 748 to 1009 of the family's 1478-position model. The record is from RNAcentral.
UAGCCGUAAACGAUACUCGCUGGGUGUCGGCCACGGUGCGACCGUUGUCGGUGCCGUAGGGAAGCCGUGAAGCGAGCCACCUGGGAAGUACGGCCGCAAGGCUGAAACUUAAAGGAAUUGGCGGGGGAGCACCACAACGGGUGGAGCUUGCGGUUUAAUUGGACUCAACGCCGGGAAGCUCACCGGAUAAGACAGCGGAAUGAUUGCCGGGCUGAAGACCCUGCAUGACCAGCUGAGAGGUGGUGCAUGGCGUAGUCGUGU